UACGGAGGGGGCGAGCGUUGUUCGGAGCCAUUGGGCGUAAAGGGCGCGUAGGCGGCCGGCCAAGUCGGGUGUGAAAUCCCUCGGCUCAACCGAGGAACUGCACUCGAUACUGGCUGGCUUGAGUCCGGGAGGGGAUGGUGGAAUUCCCAGUGUAGCGGUGAAACGCGUAGAUAUUGGGAAGAACACCGGUGGCGAAGGCGGCCAUCUGGACCGGAACUGACGCUGAGGCGCGAAAGCCAGGGGAGCGAAUGGG
Molecule: ribosomal RNA, 253 nt
Filed under: uncultured bacterium
Lineage: Bacteria
Description: partial 16S ribosomal RNA
Rfam family: Bacterial small subunit ribosomal RNA
Source: RNAcentral